UGCCAGCAGCCGCGGUAAUACGGAGGGGGCAAGCGUUGUUCGGAAUGACUGGGCGUAAAGGGCGCGUAGGCGGAUUGGCAAGUUGGGGGUGAAAGGCCUGGGCUCAACCUGGGAAUUGCCUCCAAAACUGUCUGUCUUGAGUUCGGAAGAGGAUGGCGGAAUUCCCAGUGUAGAGGUGAAAUUCGUAGAUAUUGGGAAGAACACCGGUGGCGAAGGCGGCCAUCUGGACAGAUAUUGACGCUGAGGCGCGAAGGCGUGGGUAGCGAACAGGAUUAGAUA
RNAcentral lists this ribosomal RNA (279 nucleotides) under uncultured bacterium. RNAcentral describes it as "partial 16S ribosomal RNA". It matches the Rfam family "Bacterial small subunit ribosomal RNA", at positions 506 to 784 of the family's 1533-position model. The record is from RNAcentral.